Molecule: ribosomal RNA, 316 nt
Filed under: uncultured Brachybacterium sp.
Lineage: Bacteria; Bacillati; Actinomycetota; Actinomycetes; Micrococcales; Dermabacteraceae
Description: bacterial SSU rRNA
Rfam family: Bacterial small subunit ribosomal RNA
Source: RNAcentral
AGUUUCUGCCGCAUGGUGGGGGAUUGGAAAGUUUUUCGGUGAAGGAUGGGCUCGCGGCCUAUCAGUUUGUUGGUGAGGUAGUGGCUCACCAAGGCGAUGACGGGUAGCCGGCCUGAGAGGGCGACCGGCCACACUGGGACUGAGACACGGCCCAGACUCCUACGGGAGGCAGCAGUGGGGAAUAUUGCACAAUGGGCGAAAGCCUGAUGCAGCGACGCCGCGUGAGGGAUGACGGCCUUCGGGUUGUAAACCUCUUUCAGCAGGGAAGAAGCGAAAGUGACGGUACCUGCAGAAGAAGCGCCGGCUAACUACGUGC